GUGAGGAUGGUAAGGUGCCAUAGCUAGCAAUUGUGCGCUCCUGUACACUAGCAUCGACGCUGUGGGAUUUAAGGCUUGCUUGCUUGGGACUGGUAUUCAGUGGUCGUUCUUGCUUGGGACUGGUAUUCAGUGGUCGUUCACCCAAAAGAAGUUAAGCUUGUUUUAUGGCCUGUAACAUUUGCAACAUAUGGGCUGCAUCUAGUAACCUAAACUUGUUUCAAAAACAGAAGUAGGGACGGCAAUUAUAGCUGACAUAUAAGAUACCUGAUCCAAAUAGUGUAGGUUUUACUCACCCGAUUAAACUCCGUAUGGAUAUAGAUUCUAGAAAAAAUAUUUGAAAUAAAUUUGGAUUAGGUGCGAAUAAAGAUAUGUGCUGCUCCCAAUAUGAACUAAUAUAACGGAUUAUAAUUAUUUUAAGAUAUUGGAAUGAUGAGUUCCCAAUCAGUCCUAUUUAUCCGAUCCGAACCAUCUACUUUAUUCACUCGAUGUGACGUGAGUACAGGAUGGAUAUAGGUAAGAGGGUUUUUAAUUGCCACGCAGAUAUGAAUAUUGGUCAUUGCCAUAGGGCCAAUAACAAGGCUUAAUACGUUAUCCUCCAACAUGAGAAGCAGGCCAAAGAAUAAGAAGUCGCCAAUUAAAUCGCACCAGUCAGCUAAUUCAUUUAUGGAGUAAAGUUAAUGGAAAGUUCAUCUCCUCCUACGUGGAAUGAGGAAAUAUUUACAAGGAUGAAAUAUUUGCAUCUCGACCAACAAAAGAUUUCCUCAGUUUUUACUGGAGAUGAGAAAUCCAAAAAGAUUUUCUCCCAAACCCUUGGAAAACAUAAUACAUCACAAAAGAACUAUCCAUUAAGCUUUGAACUGUCAACAAUGAAUGAACAAACAAAUAUGCAGUACGAACUGAAGAUGGGCGAAUAACUUGAGAAUCUACUGCCGAACAAAAUAGAAGAGAUUGCAUAAACAGAAACGCAGGGCCCCAUAAAAUUAUAACAAAUAAAAACCAGAUGCCAAGCUCUGACCGGCAGCGUGAAAAUUCAGCUCCUUCACGUUUUGCCUAUAUAUAUAUAUAUAUAUAACUCUUACUAUUAUAUAUUAUUAUAAACAUUUANNNNNNNNNNNNNNNNNNNNUAUAUAUAUAUAUAUAUAACUCUUUACAUUUAUAUAUUAUUUAUAAACAUUUAUUGGAGGUGGAAUUAUUUGAAAUUCCUCUUCUUAUGAUACUGUCGACUUCUUCCAUCUCACCAGGGAAUUCAGAAAU
Molecule: long non-coding RNA, 1254 nt
Filed under: Elaeis guineensis (African oil palm)
Lineage: Eukaryota; Viridiplantae; Streptophyta; Magnoliopsida; Arecales; Arecaceae
Description: long non-coding RNA (EGUI_LNC011055)
Source: RNAcentral